Long non-coding RNA from Mauremys reevesii (Reeves's turtle), 1373 nucleotides. RefSeq lists it as uncharacterized. The record is from RefSeq and is a predicted model, not a curated record. The transcript has 3 exons. NCBI's taxonomy places the organism in Eukaryota, Metazoa, Chordata, Testudines, Geoemydidae.
GGGGAACAGCUGCAACAGGAGAGUUUGACAGAACACCCCUGAAUAGCCAGGUGGUUAGGGCACUUACUGAGAAUGGGGGAGACGUGGUUCAAGUCCCUGCUCUAGAGUAAUUCAAAUCUGGGUCUCCUGUAUCUCAGCUGGCUACUGACCAGAUGCCGAGUGGAAUUCAGAAAUGCUGGCGAGUGAAAAUCAAAUGAUUGAAUGGGCUGGAGAAAUGAAGCAAUUGGGAAUGGCUGAAGAGGAUUCCCAGCUGUGUCUGUAAUCAGUGCAAUUCAGGGCUCACAACAUGCUGGCCAUAGUGUUUUCACGAUCCAGGCAUUCCAUGAUGAAAAGGCAAACAAUUAAAUGGGAGAGAAACUUUAAGGUUUUAUUUAUUAUUCUUGUUUUGAAAUUGUCUUGGAAGCAGUAUGUUGCUUUGGGGCCGAGGCCUGCAGACCCAUAGUUGCCUUAGGCUUGAUCAUAAUGAUCUCUCUGUGGUUUGACUGGCUUUUGGGUUCUCUCCCUGUCACUAAGCCCCUUUUAAGAGCUGCUGCGGUGUCUGGGAGAGGAACAAAACUGUUUUUCCUCAUCUGGUCAAACUCAUGAGUUUAAAAUGAAGUUAGUGGCUUGCAAAACUACAGUUUCAAAACAGCUCUUUUCUCUCCCAAGUCCCAGUGGGGUUUACUACUAAUGUGAAGAAAUGGAUGAGAGUCAAUGAAUUUAAACACACGCACGCACGCACAUACAUGGACCUUGGUAAUUCUCACUUUGUUGGUCUACAGAUAGGUGGAUUCUAUUAUAAACCUGUAGUCUUAGGCCAUUUUUCAGCACAGAUUCAAUAGCAGGGCUCUACGUGAGGCUCAUAUUGCCAACUAUUUUGGUUAUUAACUUUACAAAUAUAAUACUGUAUGUAUACUACCACACUAGGAAGUGCUUCAUCGUUAUACAUAAUUACUAUGGCGUGACACUGUUAAAAGAAAUAAACAAGAUACGCCGCACAAAAUGUAUCCUUGAUUUGAUCAUGUUUGUUCAUUUAUUUGCUAAUUCCCCAAAUUCAGUAAUUGGCAAAAGGCUUCCUAGGGCUUGAUCUCGUCCCCAUUCAAAUAAAUGGAAAAACGCCCUUGAAUUUUAAUGGUACAGGAUCGAGCACCUAGUCACUACUGCCACACAGUGAGAUGCUAUCCUAAAUUCCUAGCUUCUCGAAGGCCCUUUCUCACCAACAGGCAUGUGUGACAGAGCAUGAGUUAGAACCCUUGGGAGGCAAGGGGUUUAUUACAAGAACUGGUCAGAAAACGCAAUUUCUGUCCCUUGGGAAAUGGCAAUAUUUUGAGGUUUGUUUUUGUUCUGAAUUGGUAUGGAGAGUAGAAAUUUCAACAUUUACCACAGAAUGAAUG